This 897-nucleotide ribosomal RNA is filed under the name Staphylococcus aureus M0564. RNAcentral describes it as "bacterial SSU rRNA". It matches the Rfam family "Bacterial small subunit ribosomal RNA", at positions 8 to 886 of the family's 1533-position model. Lineage: Bacteria; Bacillati; Bacillota; Bacilli; Caryophanales; Staphylococcaceae. RNAcentral also lists the same sequence under 6 other names. The record is from RNAcentral.
AGAGUUUGAUCCUGGCUCAGGAUGAACGCUGGCGGCGUGCCUAAUACAUGCAAGUCGAGCGAACGGACGAGAAGUUUGCUUCUCUGAUGUUAGCGGCGGACGGGUGAGUAACACGUGGAUAACCUACCUAUAAGACUGGGAUAACUUCGGGAAACCGGAGCUAAUACCGGAUAAUAUUUUGAACCGCAUGGUUCAAAAGUGAAAGACGGUCUUGCUGUCACUUAUAGAUGGAUCCGCGCUGCAUUAGCUAGUUGGUAAGGUAACGGCUUACCAAGGCAACGAUGCAUAGCCGACCUGAGAGGGUGAUCGGCCACACUGGAACUGAGACACGGUCCAGACUCCUACGGGAGGCAGCAGUAGGGAAUCUUCCGCAAUGGGCGAAAGCCUGACGGAGCAACGCCGCGUGAGUGAUGAAGGUCUUCGGAUCGUAAAACUCUGUUAUUAGGGAAGAACAUAUGUGUAAGUAACUGUGCACAUCUUGACGGUACCUAAUCAGAAAGCCACGGCUAACUACGUGCCAGCAGCCGCGGUAAUACGUAGGUGGCAAGCGUUAUCCGGAAUUAUUGGGCGUAAAGCGCGCGUAGGCGGUUUUUUAAGUCUGAUGUGAAAGCCCACGGCUCAACCGUGGAGGGUCAUUGGAAACUGGAAAACUUGAGUGCAGAAGAGGAAAGUGGAAUUCCAUGUGUAGCGGUGAAAUGCGCAGAGAUAUGGAGGAACACCAGUGGCGAAGGCGACUUUCUGGUCUGUAACUGACGCUGAUGUGCGAAAGCGUGGGGAUCAAACAGGAUUAGAUACCCUGGUAGUCCACGCCGUAAACGAUGAGUGCUAAGUGUUAGGGGGUUUCCGCCCCUUAGUGCUGCAGCUAACGCAUUAAGCACUCCGCCUGGGGAGUACGAC